AGCACUCUAAUCAGACUGCCGUUGACAAACCGGAGGAAGGUGGGGAUGACGUCAAAUCAUCAUGCCCCUUAUGACCUGGGCUACACACGUGCUACAAUGGAUGGUACAACGAGCAGCAAGACCGCGAGGUCAAGCGAAUCUCUUAAAGCCAUUCUCAGUUCGGAUUGCAGGCUGCAACUCGCCUGCAUGAAGCCGGAAUCGCUAGUAAUCGCGGAUCAGCACGCCGCGGUGAAUACGUUCCCGGGUCUUGUACACACCGCCCGUCACACCACGAGAGUUUGUAACACCCGAAGUCGGUGAGGUAACCUUUUUGGAGCCAGCCGCCUAAGGUGGGACAGAUGAUUGGGGUGAAGUCGUAACAAGGUAGCCGUAUCGGAAGGUGCGGCUGGAUCACCUCCU
RNAcentral lists this ribosomal RNA (399 nucleotides) under uncultured bacterium. Its description in RNAcentral is "bacterial SSU rRNA". It matches the Rfam family "Bacterial small subunit ribosomal RNA", at positions 1134 to 1531 of the family's 1533-position model. The record is from RNAcentral.